GACGAACGCUGGCGGCGUGCUUAACACAUGCAAGUCGAACGGAAAGGCCCUGCUUUUGUGGGGUGCUCGAGUGGCGAACGGGUGAGUAACACGUGAGUAACCUGCCCUUGACUUUGGGAUAACUUCAGGAAACUGGGGCUAAUACCGGAUAGGAGCUCCUGCUGCAUGGUGGGGGUUGGAAAGUUUCGGCGGUUGGGGAUGGACUCGCGGCUUAUCGGCUUGUUGGUGGGGUAGUGGCUUACCAAGGCUUUGACGGGUAGCCGGCCUGAGAGGGUGACCGGCCACAUUGGGACUGAGAUACGGCCCAGACUCCUACGGGAGGCAGCAGUGGGGAAUAUUGCACAAUGGGCGGAAGCCUGAUGCAGCAACGCCGCGUGCGGGAUGACGGCCUUCGGGUUGUAAACCGCUUUCGCCUGUGACGAAGCGUGAGUGACGGUAAUGGGUAAAGAAGCACCGGCUAGCUACGUG
Molecule: ribosomal RNA, 468 nt
Filed under: uncultured bacterium
Lineage: Bacteria
Description: partial 16S ribosomal RNA
Rfam family: Bacterial small subunit ribosomal RNA
Source: RNAcentral